UACGGAGGAUGCAAGCGUUAUCCGGAUUUAUUGGGUUUAAAGGGUGCGUAGGCGGGACUGUAAGUCAGGGGUGAAAUACUGCAGCUUAACUGUAGCAUUGCCUUUGAAACUGCCGUUCUUGAGUACAGUUGAGGUAGGCGGAAUGUGGUGUGUAGCGGUGAAAUGCAUAGAUAUACCACAGAACGCCGAUUGCGAAGGCAGCUUACUAAGCUGUUACUGACGCUGAGGCACGAAAGCGUGGGGAUCAAACAGG
RNAcentral lists this ribosomal RNA (253 nucleotides) under uncultured bacterium. RNAcentral's name for it is "partial 16S ribosomal RNA". It matches the Rfam family "Bacterial small subunit ribosomal RNA", at positions 524 to 776 of the family's 1533-position model. RNAcentral also lists the same sequence under 2 other names. The record is from RNAcentral.